AACGAACGCUGGCGGCAGGCUUAACACAUGCAAGUCGAGCGCCCCGCAAGGGGAGCGGCAGACGGGUGAGUAACGCGUGGGAAUCUACCCAUCUCUACGGAAUAACGCAUGGAAACGUGUGCUAAUACCGUAUACGUCCUUCGGGAGAAAGAUUUAUCGGAGACGGAUGAGCCCGCGUUGGAUUAGCUAGUUGGUGGGGUAAAGGCCUACCAAGGCGACGAUCCAUAGCUGGUCUGAGAGGAUGAUCAGCCACACUGGGACUGAGACACGGCCCAGACUCCUACGGGAGGCAGCAGUGGGGAAUAUUGGACAAUGGGCGCAAGCCUGAUCCAGCCAUGCCGCGUGAGUGAUGAAGGCCCUAGGGUUGUAAAGCUCUUUCACCGGUGAAGAUAAUGACGGUAACCGGAGAAGAAGCCCCGGCUAACUUCGUGCCAGCCGCCGCGGUAA
This 447-nucleotide ribosomal RNA is filed under the name uncultured Hyphomicrobiales bacterium. RNAcentral describes it as "bacterial SSU rRNA". It matches the Rfam family "Bacterial small subunit ribosomal RNA", at positions 29 to 523 of the family's 1533-position model. The record is from RNAcentral. Lineage: Bacteria; Pseudomonadati; Pseudomonadota; Alphaproteobacteria; Hyphomicrobiales.